RNAcentral lists this small RNA (64 nucleotides) under Xanthomonas campestris pv. campestris. RNAcentral describes it as "ncRNA of unknown function". The record is from RNAcentral. Lineage: Bacteria; Pseudomonadati; Pseudomonadota; Gammaproteobacteria; Lysobacterales; Lysobacteraceae.
GCCGGGCCAGAGUUCUUGUAGGCGUCAUCAGUAGCGAUCGCUACGGUUGAUGGUACAGCGCGGA